This 24-nucleotide microRNA is filed under the name Solanum tuberosum (potato). RNAcentral's name for it is "stu-miR7986". Lineage: Eukaryota; Viridiplantae; Streptophyta; Magnoliopsida; Solanales; Solanaceae. The record is from miRBase by way of RNAcentral.
AGUUUAAAACGUUACUGUCGGUAA